GUUCAAUCCUCCCACCUUCACAUCAUUCUUUUGCUCCGAAACGGUUUCAAUCGGAGGAACUAAAACUUCUACAGAAAUAACCGAGUUAUCUGGUACUAAUGCAGGUUCCACUUUUUCUUCAGCUGGUACAGAAUUGUUGUUUAGGUGGCCUUACUUUUGCAAUGUUCAAAAACGUUGGGAAACCUUGUUCAUCGAAUCCACCAGAAUAAUUUUUAGGAAGAUUUUCUGUUGGCCAAGGAUCUACGUAAUUUGGAUCUCGACAACACUUGCCGAUUAUUCCAUUGUCAGGAUUUUUGCAAGACUGUAAUAUGAAAACAAUUAUUCGAGAGACAGGCUCUGUACUGAUUGUACCACCUGCGGUGCAAUAUUGUUCUUCGACACAAAGGAGAGCUGCCGCGCAACCAAACUGUACGUGGGUUGCGUUUGCAAGAAAGUCUAAAGAAAAAGAUAAACAAAGCAAUGAGAAACCCCGAAGAUCGCGUAGUUGCACACAAAAUUGCAUAUUAAAUUAAUACAAAAUUUGAAUAUACCCAUAAAUGAAACAUUAAGGAACAAAACACGAAAUUGUUUUACUUGUAGGAGUUUGAUCAGGAUUUUGCCCAACAAUUUCUUGAGUUCCUGAAUUCGCUGAUCCGCUAGCAAAGUUUUCUGGAAUUUGAUCGUUUAUUGUGAGUGGUCGUUUCAGUUUAAAGCCUUUGUUAUCGCUAUUGCUUCCCAAAUCUGAUACGAAUGGUUCGAUUUUUGGCGAUGUCUCUCGAAAUUCUUGCACUACCGUGCAGCAAACUUCGUCUGGAAUUCUGCAUUCCUGUUUUAAAUCACAAUUGAAGUAAUAAUUUGCAAAUUAAACUCUUAAUGUUCAGAAAUGGUUCUCUUAAAAGGAUUAAUCCUUUGUGGUCCUAUAUCCUACUGAAGUCGGAAAGUCUAAACUCCAAUGGGUUAAAUCAAAUAGACUGUUUUUUUUAAAGUGGUGGUGAUUCUAUGGUCACUACUAUGCAUAAUAAAUAUUAGAUCAUCCUUAUAAGUUCUGCAGUGCUGCAGAUUCCGUUUAUAUUCAAUAUAAAAUUACAGACAUUUCGUAAUAACGGUAUAACGACUUUGCCAGAAAGAUAGUAAAAGAUUGUAGAAAGAGAGGGUAGUUACAUUUAUUCAUAACAUUUAAAGGUAUAUUUCACAUAUUAAUUUGAAUAGCAAAACAAUAAGUGACAUGAACUUGUGGAUUGGCCUAAUAUGUAUGAAUGAACCAAAUUUUAUCUGAAUCUAUUUGAAUUUUUUUAAGUCUUACACUUGUUUAUGACACAAUUCAAAACUAGAACUUGAGAAUUGUUUACCUUGCUCGAUGGAAGAGGAAUAUCUUCUGUGAUAAGAAUGUAACCAUUCGCACAAUUAUUCUUCUUGGUACAGAUUCGAUUUUCUCCUAUACAGGAGAUAGUGAAGUCUCCAGUUUGUUCCGAAAAUGACGUCGAUUUCGUA
Molecule: long non-coding RNA, 1470 nt
Organism: Hylaeus volcanicus
Lineage: Eukaryota; Metazoa; Arthropoda; Insecta; Hymenoptera; Colletidae
Exons: 4
Source: RefSeq, a predicted model, not a curated record